This 337-nucleotide unclassified non-coding RNA is filed under the name soil metagenome. RNAcentral describes it as "partial contains 5.8S ribosomal RNA, internal transcribed spacer 2, and large subunit ribosomal RNA". The stretch from base 1 to 120 matches the Rfam family "5.8S ribosomal RNA", at positions 35 to 154 of the family's 154-position model. The record is from RNAcentral.
GAUGAAGAACGCAGCGAAAUGCGAUAAGUAGUGUGAAUUGCAGAAUUCAGUGAAUCAUCGAAUCUUUGAACGCACAUUGCGCCCCUUGGUAUUCCAUGGGGCAUGCCUGUUCGAGCGUCAUUUGUACCUUCAAGCUCUGCUUGGUGUUGGGUGUUUGUCUCGCCUCUGCGUGUAGACUCGCCUCAAAACAAUUGGCAGCCGGCGUAUUGAUUUCGGAGCGCAGUACAUCUCGCGCUUUGCACUCAUAACGUCGACGUCCAAAAGUACAUUUUUACACUCUUGACCUCGGAUCAGGUAGGGAUACCCGCUGAACUUAAGCAUAUCAAUAAGCGGAGGA